Molecule: ribosomal RNA, 1197 nt
Filed under: Triticum aestivum (bread wheat)
Lineage: Eukaryota; Viridiplantae; Streptophyta; Magnoliopsida; Poales; Poaceae
Description: partial small subunit ribosomal RNA
Source: RNAcentral
AUGGCCGCGCCGGCCUCCAUCCCGGUUCCAGACGAGCUCCUGGAGGAGAUCUUCAUCUGCCUGCCCACUCUGAACGCGCUCGCCCUCGCCUCCGGCGCCUGCACGUCCUUCCGCCGCGUCAUUAUAGCCCGCGCCUUCCGCCGCCGCUUCCGCGCGCUGCACCGGCCUCCCCUCCUCGGCUUCAUGGAUGUGGCCGGAUUCCACCCUUUCCAGGCGCCGCACCCCUCCGCCCCGCUCGCCGUGGCCCUGGCCCCCUACGCCGCUGAUUUCUCCUUCGUCCCGCCCGUCGUUUCUUCUACCUCCUACCUCGUCCCGCGUGACGACCACGACGAGGAAGGCCCCCGCUGGCGCCCCCGCGACGUCCGCGACGGCCGCGUCCUCCUGGAUUGGAUCUCCCUCUACCCACGUUCCGUCCACGUGUGGACCUACCGCGAAGACUCUGCCCGCCGUGAGGUAAGCAUCCUCAUGGACUCCAGGGAGCUCGGUGACGACCAACUCUGUGACCGCCUCACAUGGACCAAACGGGAGCGCUGCAAAGUAGGCAUCCUCGUCGACUGCAUGGAGCGCGGUCUCGGUGACUUUGACAACGAUCGUCACCGGUGCAACGCCGCUGACUUUCACCUCGCCGUCUGUGACCCGUUGUCCAGCAGAUACGUGCUGCUUCCAACCAUACCCGAGGACCUCGCCGCCGGGCCUCAAGAUAGCCUUUGGGCAUUUGAGCCCGUGCUCGCUCCCGCCACCGGUGACGAUGGAGAGGAUGAGCCCGUCAAGGUGAUAUGCUUUGCAAGAUACAUGACAAAACUCGUCCUCUUUGUCUUUUCGUCCACAACUAGGCAAUGGUCUAUGGUCGAGUCUCCCAGCUUCCCUUUUUUGAAAUGUCUAGAUCUAGACAUGUCCUGUUUUGACUGCGUGCGCGGCUGCUUCUACUGGACAGAACCUUACGACUGGGGUGACCAUCUGAUGGUGCUGGACACGCGCACCAUGAGCUUCUCCACUGUCGAUCUUCUCACCGGCUGCCAUGAGGAGCUCAGGGAUCUCCAUGACCCGAGCUUUCGUCCUUGGCAUCUCAAUGCAGUUGUUGCGGGUAGACAAGGAGCCCUUGAGAUGUUUUCUCUUGUCUGCCAACACGGGUCCUUUGCUCUCUACCAUACCUCUCUGCAGAAUAAUUCCCAAGAAUGGAAGCGGAGAAGAUCAUAA